Leptinotarsa decemlineata (Colorado potato beetle) is the source of this 8558-nucleotide long non-coding RNA. The record is from RefSeq and is a predicted model, not a curated record. NCBI's taxonomy places the organism in Eukaryota, Metazoa, Arthropoda, Insecta, Coleoptera, Chrysomelidae.
AUCAUCAAAACAUUUUUUUACUUAUUUUAUUUUCGAGUGGGGUGAAUUACUAUCCAUGAUAAUAACUGUACAAUUUUCACACUGACAAUUUUAUCUGAGACAUUAACAGGUAAUUUAUGAAUAUGUUAAUAACCGAUAUUUUAACAGAACAAUGGUGGAUGACCAAGAAAAUUUAAAUGUUUACGUUUAUUCCAUUUUGAAAUCGUAGUUGUUCUCUAAAAGGUGGCAAUAAUGAGUGGAAAUGGUUUCCUUUAGGUCAAAACUACUUUUUUGUUCGUAUAUUCGUGUUAUCCUGAUCUGUUAUCCUUGUCUAUCUGUGACUUGUUGUUCUUUAUAUGUCUUCCUAAGGAGUAUCCAGUCUAAUAUGCAUGUUAUAUGAUGAGUUGAUGUUAUUUUUUGUUGGCAGUAUUUUCAUUUCAUUUACUUACUUGUCGUUAGUUAAUAACUAUGACAUAUGAAGAACAAGUCACGGGUCUACAACGUAGCAUGCCCAAAAGUUCAUAUAGGAAGGACUUCAAGAAAUUUCAAAAUGAGGUUUGGCGAACACAAAAAAAGUUUUGAGCAUACAGAAAAUGAGGAACAAAAAACAUGAAUUGAACCUGCUGAAAUCUUGGGAAACGUGAACGUUACAUUUUUUUCGAACGACCAACAAGGAGGUAAUCAUUCACCAUUGUUGAACUCAUUUUCAUAAAAUUCCGAUAAUCAAGAGAUUGAUGAAUUACCUGUUGUUCUAGAAGAACUAUACUGUAUUCUAAUUGUUUUUCAAAAUCUACCUGUUUUGUCAGAAAUAAUAAUAAUAAUAAUAUGUUUAUUAUCGCAUACACUGACAUACAUUACAUAGAGUGCUAUCGAAAAUAAACAAGAUAUUCACAAAAGCCAUAGAAAUAUAUAGCUUGUUAGUGAUAAGGAUACAUUGUAAUCAACUAUAUAAAUACUUAAUCUAACAGUAUGAUGAUGAAUGAUGAAUUAAUCAAUAACCUUAUUAACAGAGACAGUAGUUUCAGACAGAAUACAUAGUUAUUUUCGUCUGCUCAACAAAUGCUUAAGUUAAAUUGCUGUUUUAAAUAGUUUGAUUAACAAAAUCAGAGAAGAAAGCUCUUUUGGUAUUCAGAAUGAAUUUCCUUACUUCUCUCUUAAACAUGUGAGAAGUGUUGAUAUUUUUUAUUUUUUCUGGUAAUAUUUGGUAUAAGCGUGGUCCGAGAUAUGUUGCAUUUUUUUGUCCUAUGGUUUUGUCGAAUAUCACAUACAUUCGCUUCUUUAAAUGAGGCAGCAGUUGGAUGAGUUUUUUUGCUAUUAAUCAUAAUCUUCAGUAUCCAUUUUUGUAUGACAGAAAUAAUCAUUCACAUAAUCAGGUUAUUUUGGCAUGAACUGUAAAUAAUUAACAUACUUAUGAAUGACCUGUUAUUUUAGAAGUAAUAUUGCAUUAUAAUUGUUUUUACCUGUUUUACCAAAAUCAGUCAUCUAUCUAAUUAAGUUUUGUAAUUACCUACUGUUAUAUAAAGUAGUAAUUCGAAGUACCAGUAUAACUUGAUAAAGCUCAAAUAAAAUCUUCAGUGUGAAAAAGGUAUAAUUAUUAUCAUGGAUAGUAUUAUUAAUUUUCAUAAAGUAAGGGGUCAGAGUUUUCAUAAAAUGAGGCAAAGUCAACCCAUCUUAGCCCAUAUCAUUUCAUCAUAUUUAUAUCAUGGUAGUGAUAAAAUCAUCUAGGGUAAGAGCUACAUCCCUCAAACCCCUCAAAUCACCAAUCUUUCAUUGAAAAGAGUUUUAUAAAAUAACAUUCGACAGUUUCGAUGCUCGUUUAAACUAUCACCUCAACCAUCGACUUUCAAUUGAAAUUUGUUGCACAUACCUUGCUUUACAAUGGAAAACUCACAAGUCUCAGUGUUAAAAUAUUUUGAUUUCAAUAAAGCUGUUCAAAUUGCUUGAAAUUUCGUCACAAUGCGAAACUGAAAAUGCCAAAUUUUGGACCUCCCGAAAAACGUUCCCCUGGCGGUAAUUAGUGGCAUCAGAUACUGAGCGUGAAACAAAUAUAAGUUCAGGGAUACCAGGGACCAUUCGAAAUUACCUAUGUACAAAUAUAAGUUAUCCAGCUUGAGUUCAAAGUUGAACUGACCGAUCCCGAAUUAUUUUCAAAAUUGUAUCAAAGCUAUUUUUUCGGAUUUUUUGGCCGUGAUUUGCAAGAUUUUAUUUCUAACAUUUCGUAUACAAUAGCGGUGGGCAUUAUCAAAAGCCAUGAUGCAACGGAUGGAGUGUCCUAGUUGCCUUAACAGUGCCUACACUACAUUGGUCGGAGAAUACCUUCUCGAUUUUAUUCCAUCGUUGGCGUGGUUCAUUCUUUCCUAUUAGUUGAGUAAAACGGCCUGAUUCGUGCACAGUUUAGUACCGGUAGCCAAAUACGAUCAUUAUUCAUUUCUCUUUCCUUUUGGUUGAAACUAUCUACGAAUGACUGAACUGUAUGGUGUUAUUCUUGUUCAAUUUGCUUGUUGAUUUGUCGUAAUAUAUUCAGCACGAAGAGGUUGAGUUGUUCUGCGCCUUCGUCUCUUCUGGAUGCACUUUUCGAGAGAUUAUGCUCACCCUCUCUCACUCACUGAUCGAUUUCACUUUUGCUCAGCUUUCCAAAAUUUUCAGUGUGGAAUCAAGAAUCGUUUGGUUUCACAUUGAACCUCGCUAAGGAUUUCAGGUUCAUCAUUCAGCGCAGAAUUCGCGGCCUGGCAUUUCUCUUGGCGACCAUGACUAGUUCGUUCUGAGAAUCGAUUGAAUUUUUUCAUAAUAUCCUGUAGUGUUGAGCUGGAAACAUCAUGAGAAAAAUAGGAAGUCGGGACGUUGAUCAAAUUUUCGGAUAAACCGAUGCGUUCCUUUCUAUUUGCAGUAUUGUUCGAAGAAGUCGUGUAUUAUCGGAGCGAGCCUAAUAUCAUCAGAAUUCAAGCUCAUGGAGGACUUUCUUUUCACUAAGUGAUGAUAAUUUUUCACUAUAAAUCUACUCGUCUCAAUGUUCGCUACGUACAACUCAACUGUAUUAUCAUUUUCUAUCAAGUUAUUAAUGUAGCUUUGGAAAUUGUCCUUGUUUUCGUAGAAUGGAGCUUUAACGUUAGUAGCCUGAGAGAGACUGCUUUAUCUCAUUAGUAAUGCUUCGGAAAACAAAUCCUUUUGUUAUAUUUCAUUAUCGAUCGAAUCAUAGGUUCUUGUCCGGAUUUACGCAGUUGUUAACACCAUUCACUUUUUCACUGGGUCCGCUCCAAAUAUCAUCUAAUUCAUGAAUUCUCACUAUAUAUUAUUUUGUCUCUAGUGAUUCGAAUCAACCUUAUUCUCAUCCUUGGUAGAGUUUUUUUCGUGGGGUCAUUUGUUAGCCACAGAGAGAUUACGGGCAGAAGUUCUGAAAUUCAUUUUGGGUACUGUAACCUUGUCAUAUUCCAACUAACACCUCUCAGUUUCCAUCAUUUCUUUUGAAUUUGCACUUCUGAAAGCAAUAUAUGAACCUUUACCUGCAUUUCCAAUCAAUAUCCAACGAUUUUCCUAAUAUCAUCAUCGUGAAGAACGGUCUUCUCGACCGUAUUGUAUCGGUUAUUCAAACCCAAUACUAACUCAUCAUUAGUAGUAUCUAAAUAAUGAUGUUCAAUCGAUAAUUGAUAACAGUUCUUUUCGUGUAUUGUCGAGUCCUUUUUGAGAUUGUCUGUCAUCGUCUACGGCAUAAUCUUCCUCCUCAUUAUCGGCAAAGCUUCCUUGACACUUUCACACCUCAUUUUGUUCUCCAUAGAAUGUCUCUGUCUCUUGUAGAAUACUCUGGAAAAUUAUUGUGUGAUGUGCUCAAAAUGUCAGGAAAUGCCAAUACUGAGUAGGAAUCGUUGAAAUUGUGGAUUUUCGAAUGUUGUGGGAAAGUACCGAAAGUCGGGGAAUAGUUACUGAAAACAUUAGACCGGGUGGCCAAAACGUUAGUCAAAACCUUCAAGCUUCGAUUCUCGAAGGAUUCCAAUGGAAAACGAUUAGGGCUAGAUGAGCAGAGUCUCACAGGAAAUAAAUAAUCGGAUUUCCAAUAGUUUGGAUUGUUUCUCCGUGCGACAGCUUUCACUGAUGGAGUCUUCAGCACAAAAAGUACCUCGAGAAUUAAACCUCAUGUGAAGAACGUUCAACAUUUGAAACCGUAUAACUUCGUUUCUCGCAGUUUACUGGCGGAAAAUGCAAAGUGUUUUCUCCAUAGCAUCUAAUAACAAACAGGUUCCAAGUUGGAAGUUUUUUUGACGUUAGCUCCCAGUAUCACUUUGCCAUCAAGAGUGCGUAACUUCUUAUUAGAACUGGGCUAGUUGUCGAUAUCAGUCAUUUGCUCGCAUAAACCAUGGUCUGUUUGGAAUAAAUCCUACAUACACCUCAAGAUACUCCGUUCUUGUAGAUACUGUCUUGGUGAUGUUCAUCAGAAGGUGGAGUCACAAACCCCUUGAACAUUUCGUAAAUGUCUCCUAGUUUCCUACUGAAAAAAUCAGUUUGCGUUUCUGACAACACAGUUGGCAGAUGAAAGACUUGUCCUUCAUUCACAAGUCAUCUUUUUAAACGACUCUGCAUUGUUAUCAUUUUUGUGAUUAUUAUCUGCUAGGCAUAUUUUUCGGGCGAUUUAAUUUUCUACCAACUUCACAUAAAUGAUUCUUAUCUUUACUUGUCAUACCUGAGAAUGUAACUAUCGUGAUUCAUGCCGAGGAUAUGAAUCAUUCUCCGUAUUGGUAGUCACUAUCAGCAGUACUCUCUCAUGAAAUGAGCACGUCAGAAUUAUUGCAAUAGCAUUGCAAAAACGUGGCUUUCUUUUUUGAUUCAGAAGUUGUCCUCUCCUCUCGAACAUGAAAUAUCCGCGGUUAUACCAGCUCGCAGCAGAUAUCUUGGUCAGACAAAUGCAAAAUGCUGUCGUUUUCCAUUCUUUUCAUGAACUCAGAGCACAUGAUUUUGGAUGUAUCUAAGCUUGAAUGUACUCGUAUUGCAGCAAUAUCUACCUAUUUAAUAUUUUUGGAAUUUUUGCUACCAAAAUGAAAUUUAUCUCAUUUUUGUGUGAUUUUCAAUGCCGUAAAUAAUAAAAAAUUCGAGCAAAUCAGUCCUACGAAAUGACUGCUGAAAGAUUUGUCUGGUAAAUUUAUCUGAACUGUGGAUGGUCCCACUUGACGUAAUAUUCAACUACUAUGUUUUGCUACUCAACACCAGCUUUAUGUUUUAAUCUUUGGAAACUGUAAUAAUCAUAUCAACAUCCAUGAAUAAACAUUUCUUUUUGAGUUAGGAUAAAGAUGAGUUCUUACAGAAUUCUAAUCCUAACACUGUGGUGGUGCAACAAAUUUCAAUAGGAAGUUUAACUUGUGAAUAUUUUUCAGAUAGUGUCCACAAUUGUACUCCUUUACUACAGUGUACGUGUAAUCCACGACCUCUAAUAGAACUUUAGAAUAUAAAUUUAAAGAUAUACUAGUUCAUUGUUACCUUAAUUUUAUUAAUAACACUUCUGAAAAGUAAUACCUAAUACAAUUUCAAAUAUAACAAUCGACAUGAAAUCAUUGACAUGAAUUUGUUAACGAAAAACAAAUCUUUCAUCUGCCAACUAUGUUGUUAGAAACGCAAACUGAUUUUUCCAGUACAAAACUAGGAGACAUUCAUUAAAUGUUCAAAGGGGUUUGUAACUCCACCUUCUGAUGACCAAGAUGACAGGAUCUACAAGAACGGAGUACCUUGAGGUGUAUGUAGGAUUUAUUCCAAACAAACCAUGGUUUAUGCGAGCAAAUGCCGGAUACUGACAACUAAACCAGUUCUUACAAGAAGUUACGCACUCUUGAUGGCAAAGUGAUACUGGGAGCUGACGACAAAGAAAACUUCAAACUUGGAACCUGAUUGUUGUUGGAGGCCAUGGAGAAAACACGUUGCAUUUUCCGCCAGGAAACUGUGAGAAACGAAGUUAUAAGGUUUCAAAUGUUGAACGUUCUCCACAUGGGGUUUAAUUUUCGAUGUACUUUUUGUGCUGAAGACUCCAUCAGUGAAAGCUGUCGCACGGAGAACCAAUCCAAACUAUUGGAAUUUCGUUUAUUCAUUUCCUGUGAGACUCUGCUCAUCUAGUUCUAAUCUUUUUCCAUUGGAAUCCUUCGAGAAUCGAAACUUGAAGGUUUUGACUAAUGAUUUGGCCACCCAGUCUAGUGUUUUGAGUAACUAUUCGCCGACUUUCGGUACUUUUCCACAACAUUCGAAAAUCCACAAUUUCAACGGUUCCUACUCAGCGUUGGCAUCCCCUGACAUUUUGAGCACAUCUCACAAUAAUUUUCCAGAAUGUUCUACAAGAGACAGAGAGAGAGCCAUUCUGUGGAGAACAGAAUGAGGUGCGAAAGUGUCAAGGAAGCUUUGCCGAUAAUGAGGAGGAAGAUUGUGCCGUAGACGAUGACAGACAAUCUCAAAAAGGACUCGACAAUACACGAAAAGAACUGUUAUCAAUUAUCGAUUGAACAUCAUUAUUUAGAUACUACUAAUGAUGAGUUAGUAUUGGGUUUGAAUAACCGAUACAAUACGGUCGAGGAGACCGUUCUUCACGAUGAUGAUAUUAGGAAAAUCGUUGGAUAUUGAUUGGAAAUGCAGGUAAAGGUUCAUAUAUUGCUUUCAGAAGUGCAAAUUCAAAAGGAAUGAUGGAAACUGAGAGGUGUUAGUUGGAAUAUGACAAGGUUACAGUACCUAAAAUGAAUUUCAGAACUUCUGCCCGUAAUCUCUCUGUGGCUAACAAAAGAUCCCACGAAAAAAAUUCUACCAAGGAUGAGAAUAAGGUUGAUUCAAAUCACUAGAGACAAAAUAAUAUAUAGUGAGAAUUCAUGAAUUAGAUGAUAUUUGGAGCGGACCCAGUGAAAAAGUGAAUGGUGUUAACAACUGCGUAAAUCCGGACAAGAACCUUUGAUUCGAUCGAUAAUGAAAUGUAACAGAAGAAUUUGUUUUCCCGAAGCAUUACUAAUGAGAUAUAGCAGUCAGUCUCAGGCUACUAACGUUAAAGCUCCAUUCUAUGAAAACAAGGACAAUUUCGAAAGCUACAUUAAUAACUUGAUAGAAAAUAAUAAUAUAGUUGAGUUGUACGUGGCGAACAUUGAGACGAGUAGAUUUAUAGUGAAAAAUUAUCAUCACAAAGUGAAAAGAAAGUCCUCCAUGAGCUUGAAUUCUGAUGAUAUUAGGCUUGCUCCGAUAAUACACGACUUCUUCGAACAAUACUGCAGAUGAAAGGAACGCAUUGGUUUAUCCGAAAAUUUGAUCAACGUCCCGACUUCCUAUUCUUCUCAUGAUGUUUCCAGCUCAACACUCCAGGAUAUUAUGAAAAAUUCAAUCGAUUCUCAGAACGAACGAGUCAUGGUCGCCAAGAGAAAUGCCAGGCCGCGAAUUCUGCGUUGAAUGAUGAACCUGAAAUCCUUAGCGAGGUUCAAUGUAAAACCUAACGAUUCUUGAUUCCACACUGAAAAUUUUGGAAAGCUGAACAGAAGUGAAAUCGAUUAGUGAGUAAGAGAGGGUGAGUAUAAUUUCUCAAAAAGUGCUUUCAGAAGAUGCGCAGGCGCAGAACAGCUCAACUUCUUCGUGCUGAAUAUAUUACGACAAAUCAACAAGCAAAUUGAACAAGAAUGACACCAUACAGUUCAGUCAUUCGUAGAUAGUUUCAACCAAAGGGAAGGAGAAAUUAACAAUAAUCGUGUUUGGCUACCUGUACCAAACUGUGCAGGAAUCAGGCCGUUUUACUCAACUAAUAGGAAUGAAUAAGCCACGCCCACCGAUGGAAUAAAACCGAGAAGACAUUCUCCGACCAAUGUAGUGUAGUUACUGUUAAGGCAACUAGGGCACUCCAUCCGUUGCAUCAUGGCUUUUGAUAAUGUCCAUCACUAUUGUAUACGAAAUGUUAGGAAUGAAAUCUUGCAAAUCACGGCCAACAAAUCCGAAAAAUAGCUUUGACACGGAUUGAAUAUUUCUGCAUAACUCUCCCCUUUAUUUUUGAUCAUCUACCGAUUCCACUGUUUUUGUUUCAUGCACUGGACCUGAUACCACGACAUGUCAUCCAGAGUAAUGGAGUUCAACUUUGAUGCUUGCUUCACACACCUGCCUCCAUCGCCCAGUAAGCAGAAACAGGUUUUUAUGAAGAGAAAUCCUGUGGCCUGAACUAAGUAGGCCCACGAUCAAGACAGUGUUCCCUUAGGAGAAGACAGUGGAGCAGACUAGAAUUAGAACGAGUAGGUCUACUAUCUACAAUCUCAGACGAAGAGAGCAUCAAUCUCGUGGGUUACCUCAACUCCGAGCAACCAAGAACCAAGGCUGUGGACCUGACACCACGACCAGUCACCCAGGAGGAUCCUGCCAAUGAAACAAUGGAAAUCUACCUGGAUAAUUGCCUCACAAACUUGCCUCCAUCGUUCAGUGCGUUUAAAGGAAGAAGAAUCCACCGUUAAGACAGUCUACCAUCUAUGAUCUCAGAAGAAGAGAACAUCAACUUUUAGGGUUCACUCUCCUUCCAAAAUCAGACAAAAACUAUGAUAUUGUUUUUCACUGAAUUGUGAAGUGAAUACUACUGGAAAAUAAAGUUAUCAUUGUUUUUA